UAUAACAUUUUUAAUGAAAUGUCAGAUUCUAAUUGAGAGAAUUGCUCCCAUUUGUCCAAAUUUUAUUUUCAUCAAUUGUGGCAAUCAAUGAAAGCAGAUCAGAUAUCACAGUAAAGAUUUUCGUUUUCUUUUUGUAAUAUAUCUUCAAGAAUAUCAAAGACACUGGGAACUGAAAGGUUUUAUACCAAGACUUACAGUCAUAGUUGAUAAUGACAAAGUUAUCAAGUAUUGCAUUAUUCAAAUAUAAUUUCAGGUUAUGCAGAUUGUUGAGAGCAAUAUGAUGAGGGAAGGCAGGUAAGAGUCUUAUUGUCUGUAUGUACUCAUGGCAAAAUGGUGUUCGAGAGGUGGCGAAUAAGGAUUUGCUUGCAGCAUUGAAGAACGAUAUAUACAAAGAACAGAAAGAAAGGUUCUCUUAACAUAGAAAGUAAAGAAAUAAUGAAGUUCACACUACAGUUGACAAUCUGGAUGGGUUUCCUUUGUUAUUUGAACAUGAUUUAUUUUAACUUACAUAACAAGUAUGCACUACAAUAAUGAAUAUCUAUAUUAAUAGUAAUGAUAUUCCAUUAAACAUGGAUAUGGAAAAAAAUAUUCUUUGACAAUGCAAGAUAAGAUAAAUCCAGACAUAGUCAGAGUCUUCAGUUAACUUGGAUGUGUUCCAUUUGUUUCAUCCACAAACUUGAAUUUUGUCUUGUAACUAUGUGUAUUUUAUGAGGUUAACUUGAGUAAUAAACCUUUAUCAUAA
Molecule: long non-coding RNA, 742 nt
Organism: Mya arenaria
Lineage: Eukaryota; Metazoa; Mollusca; Bivalvia; Myida; Myidae
Exons: 3
Source: RefSeq, a predicted model, not a curated record